CCGUAUGCGGGAGGCUUCGACACGCGGUCCAUAUUCUGGCCGCCGAGACCGCGCCGAGCCACUGGCGAGACCGACCCGCCCGCAC
RNAcentral lists this non-coding RNA (85 nucleotides) under Chloroflexota bacterium. RNAcentral's name for it is "Chloroflexi bacterium c-di-GMP sequence". It matches the Rfam family "c-di-GMP-II-GAG riboswitch aptamer". The record is from RNAcentral. Lineage: Bacteria; Bacillati; Chloroflexota.